AGUGAACGCUGGCGGUAGGCCUAACACAUGCAAGUCGAACGGCAGCACAGUAAGAGCUUGCUCUUACGGGUGGCGAGUGGCGGACGGGUGAGGAAUACAUCGGAAUCUACUUUUUCGUGGGGGAUAACGUAGGGAAACUUACGCUAAUACCGCAUACGACCUACGGGUGAAAGCAGGGGAUCUUCGGACCUUGCGCGAUUGAAUGAGCCGAUGUCGGAUUAGCUAGUUGGCGGGGUAAAGGCCCACCAAGGCGACGAUCCGUAGCUGGUCUGAGAGGAGGAUCGGCCGCACUGGAGCGGGGACACGGACCAGACGCCUGCGAGAGGCAGCAGUGGGGAAUGUUGGACAAUGGGCGCAAGCCUGAUCCAGCCAUACCGCGUGGGUGAAGAAGGCCUUCGGGGUGUGAAGCCCUUUUGUUGGGAAAGAAAAGCAGCAGGUUAAUACCCCGCUGUUCUGACGGUACCCAAAGAAUAAGCACCGGCUAACUUCGUG
RNAcentral lists this ribosomal RNA (492 nucleotides) under uncultured bacterium. RNAcentral's name for it is "partial 16S ribosomal RNA". It matches the Rfam family "Bacterial small subunit ribosomal RNA", at positions 29 to 507 of the family's 1533-position model. The record is from RNAcentral.